Molecule: ribosomal RNA, 502 nt
Filed under: uncultured bacterium
Lineage: Bacteria
Description: partial 16S ribosomal RNA
Rfam family: Bacterial small subunit ribosomal RNA
Source: RNAcentral
AUUGAACGCUGGCGGAAUGCUUUACACAUGCAAGUCGAACGGCAGCAUAGGUGCUUGCACCUGAUGGCGAGUGGCGAACGGGUGAGUAAUACAUCGGAACGUGCCCAGUCGUGGGGGAUAACGUAGCGAAAGUUACGCUAAUACCGCAUACGAUCUAAGGAUGAAAGCGGGGGACCGUAAGGCCUUGCGCGAUUGGAGCGGCCGAUGUCAGAUUAGGUAGUUGGUGAGGUAAAGGCUCACCAAGCCGACGAUCUGUAGCUGGUCUGAGAGGACGACCGGCCACACUGGGACUGAGCCACGGCCCAGACUCCUACGGGAGGCAGCAGUGGGGAAUUUUGGACAAUGGACGCAAGUCUGAUCCAGCCAUUCCGCGUGCAGGACGAAGGCCUUCGGGUUGUAAACUGCUUUUGUACGGAACGAAAAAGCUCUUACUAAUACUAGGAGUCCAUGACGGUACCGUAAGAAUAAGCACCGGCUAACUACGUGCCAGCAGCCGCCGUAA